AUGGGGUGAGGUGAAGGAUCUGGGCGGCAGUGUUAAGAUAGCGGCCGCUAGUCGGGCUGAAGAGGCGUAGGAGAAGCACGUCGCCUUUCGUAAAGGGCAUUUGCUCCCCGGGUCUCUCAGUACUACUAGCAUUGGCCUACCUGUGGUGGUGGGCCUCGGGUUUCCACCAUGUGCGCUCUUGUCCAGAGCCCCUUAGCUAUGUGUCCACCCAAAAUUCCAUGGCCUCACUUCUCUGCUUCUGUGGUUGUGUGUAAGGAGCUAACUGAAUCUUUUGUUCUGAGCAUGAUGAAUUGCUUGUGUGUUCAAGACUAGGAGUGUGUUUGGGACACACAGUAAUAUUACCAGUCUUGAGACAAAAGGAGCUUGAGAACAAUGUGCCCUUGCAGACAAGUUGAGCAGAGGCUUGCAAAUUCCCUUCCACUUGAUGGCUGUAAACUCACCAAAUAAGGCUUCACUUACAAAGGUCAACCGAAAACUUGAGCUUAUGAACUUUGGACUUACUGUGCAGGCUUAAUAGGCUAAUUAAUUUUAAAUUCUCUGCCUUGGGCAGCAUAUGGUUAGAGCUAAUUACACGUGAUGUGUGAUACAUAAUGUAGCUCGCAUACAUGGGGGAACAUGUAUUGGGCAGACUGGGAAGACUUAUCUCCAGACACUUCAGUCAGUGAGGAAAGGAGAAGGGACAAUGCGGCUGGGAAACAGGGAUAAAAAAGUCUGUGACUUCUGCAGGCUUCAGUGAAUGUCACAGGGUGCCAUUUUUUCUCCAUGGAGGAACUCAGUUCUACACCACUGCUCCAUGCGCACUUCCAUGUCAGACGCCAUUUUGUCAGACUGCUCCUCUGCUGCCAGCUGUCACACAACAACGUGGAACAGAAUAUUGGCAGGAAGGUUCAACCUCUGCUGCCAUGCUGCCAACAUCAUGAAACAGGAGGCAUUACUUCUGAAGCAGGCAUUUUGAAAUAUAUGCUGUGGUCAUUGUAUUAUAAGCAACAGAGAUUACUGUAAUUUUUAAUAUUUUUAAUUGAAAAAAAAAAAGAGAGCAACU
Long non-coding RNA from Gallus gallus (chicken), 1042 nucleotides. The record is from Ensembl. NCBI's taxonomy places the organism in Eukaryota, Metazoa, Chordata, Aves, Galliformes, Phasianidae.